This 1540-nucleotide ribosomal RNA is filed under the name Staphylococcus hyicus. RNAcentral's name for it is "16S ribosomal RNA". It matches the Rfam family "Bacterial small subunit ribosomal RNA". The record is from RNAcentral. Lineage: Bacteria; Bacillati; Bacillota; Bacilli; Caryophanales; Staphylococcaceae.
AGAGUUUGAUCCUGGCUCAGGAUGAACGCUGGCGGCGUGCCUAAUACAUGCAAGUCGAGCGAACGGACGAGAAGCUCGCUUCUCUGAUGUUAGCGGCGGACGGGUGAGUAACACGUGGAUAACCUACCUAUAAGACUGGGAUAACUUCGGGAAACCGGAGCUAAUACCGGAUAAUAUUUUGAACCGCAUGGUUCAAAAGUGAAAGACGGUCUUGCUGUCACUUAUAGAUGGAUCCGCGCUGCAUUAGCUAGUUGGUAAGGUAACGGCUUACCAAGGCAACGAUGCAUAGCCGACCUGAGAGGGUGAUCGGCCACACUGGAACUGAGACACGGUCCAGACUCCUACGGGAGGCAGCAGUAGGGAAUCUUCCGCAAUGGGCGAAAGCCUGACGGAGCAACGCCGCGUGAGUGAUGAAGGUCUUCGGAUCGUAAAACUCUGUUAUUAGGGAAGAACAUAUGUGUAAGUAACUGUGCACAUCUUGACGGUACCUAAUCAGAAAGCCACGGCUAACUACGUGCCAGCAGCCGCGGUAAUACGUAGGUGGCAAGCGUUAUCCGGAAUUAUUGGGCGUAAAGCGCGCGUAGGCGGUUUUUUAAGUCUGAUGUGAAAGCCCACGGCUCAACCGUGGAGGGUCAUUGGAAACUGGAAAACUUGAGUGCAGAAGAGGAAAGUGGAAUUCCAUGUGUAGCGGUGAAAUGCGCAGAGAUAUGGAGGAACACCAGUGGCGAAGGCGACUUUCUGGUCUGUAACUGACGCUGAUGUGCGAAAGCGUGGGGAUCAAACAGGAUUAGAUACCCUGGUAGUCCACGCCGUAAACGAUGAGUGCUAAGUGUUAGGGGGUUUCCGCCCCUUAGUGCUGCAGCUAACGCAUUAAGCACUCCGCCUGGGGAGUACGACCGCAAGGUUGAAACUCAAAGGAAUUGACGGGGACCCGCACAAGCGGUGGAGCAUGUGGUUUAAUUCGAAGCAACGCGAAGAACCUUACCAAAUCUUGACAUCCUUUGACAACUCUAGAGAUAGAGCCUUCCCCUUCGGGGGACAAAGUGACAGGUGGUGCAUGGUUGUCGUCAGCUCGUGUCGUGAGAUGUUGGGUUAAGUCCCGCAACGAGCGCAACCCUUAAGCUUAGUUGCCAUCAUUAAGUUGGGCACUCUAAGUUGACUGCCGGUGACAAACCGGAGGAAGGUGGGGAUGACGUCAAAUCAUCAUGCCCCUUAUGAUUUGGGCUACACACGUGCUACAAUGGACAAUACAAAGGGCAGCGAAACCGCGAGGUCAAGCAAAUCCCAUAAAGUUGUUCUCAGUUCGGAUUGUAGUCUGCAACUCGACUACAUGAAGCUGGAAUCGCUAGUAAUCGUAGAUCAGCAUGCUACGGUGAAUACGUUCCCGGGUCUUGUACACACCGCCCGUCACACCACGAGAGUUUGUAACACCCGAAGCCGGUGGAGUAACCUUUUAGGAGCUAGCCGUCGAAGGUGGGACAAAUGAUUGGGGUGAAGUCGUAACAAGGUAGCCGUAUCGGAAGGUGCGGCUGGAUCACCU